RNAcentral lists this ribosomal RNA (897 nucleotides) under uncultured bacterium. RNAcentral's name for it is "bacterial SSU rRNA". It matches the Rfam family "Bacterial small subunit ribosomal RNA", at positions 8 to 916 of the family's 1533-position model. The record is from RNAcentral.
AGAGUUUGAUCAUGGCUCAGGACGAACGCUGGCGGCGUGCUUAACACAUGCAAGUCGAACGAUGAACCGGUUUCGGCCGGGGAUUAGUGGCGAACGGGUGAGUAACACGUGGGUAAUCUGCCCCGCACUCUGGGAUAAGCCCGGGAAACUGGGUCUAAUACCGGAUAUACAUCGAUGGUCGCAUGGCCUGUCGGUGGAAAGCUUUUGCGGUGUGGGAUGGGCCCGCGGCCUAUCAGCUUGUUGGUGGGGUGAUGGCCUACCAAGGCGACGACGGGUAGCCGGCCUGAGAGGGUGACCGGCCACACUGGGACUGAGACACGGCCCAGACUCCUACGGGAGGCAGCAGUGGGGAAUAUUGCACAAUGGGCGAAAGCCUGAUGCAGCGACGCCGCGUGAGGGAUGACGGCCUUCGGGUUGUAAACCUCUUUCAGCAGGGAAGAAGCGCAAGUGACGGUACCUGCAGAAGAAGCACCGGCUAACUACGUGCCAGCAGCCGCGGUAAUACGUAGGGUGCAAGCGUUGUCCGGAAUUAUUGGGCGUAAAGAGCUCGUAGGCGGCUUGUCGCGUCGGUUGUGAAAGCCCGGGGCUUAACCCUGGGUCUGCAGUCGAUACGGGCAGGCUAGAGUUCGGCAGGGGAGACUGGAAUUCCUGGUGUAGCGGUGAAAUGCGCAGAUAUCAGGAGGAACACCGGUGGCGAAGGCGGGUCUCUGGGCCGAUACUGACGCUGAGGAGCGAAAGCGUGGGGAGCGAACAGGAUUAGAUACCCUGGUAGUCCACGCUGUAAACGGUGGGAACUAGGUGUGGGCAGCAUUCCACGUUGUCUGUGCCGUAGCUAACGCAUUAAGUUCCCCGCCUGGGGAGUACGGCCGCAAGGCUAAAACUCAAAUGAAUUGACGG